RNAcentral lists this ribosomal RNA (253 nucleotides) under uncultured bacterium. RNAcentral describes it as "partial 16S ribosomal RNA". It matches the Rfam family "Bacterial small subunit ribosomal RNA", at positions 524 to 776 of the family's 1533-position model. The record is from RNAcentral. RNAcentral also lists the same sequence under 1 other name.
GACGAAGGGGGCUAGCGUUGUUCGGAAUUACUGGGCGUAAAGCGUGUGUAGGUGGUUGUCAUAGUCAGGUGUGAAAGCCUUGAGCUCAACUCAAGAAAUGCACUUGAUACUGGGCAGCUAGAGGACCGGAGAGGAUAGUGGAAUUCCCAGUGUAGUGGUGAAAUACGUAGAGAUUGGGAAGAACACCAGUGGCGAAGGCGGCUAUCUGGACGGUUUCUGACACUAAGACACGAAAGCGUGGGGAGCAAACAGG